RNAcentral lists this long non-coding RNA (297 nucleotides) under Mustela putorius furo (domestic ferret). RNAcentral describes it as "lncRNA (ENSMPUG00000028154.1)". The record is from RNAcentral. Lineage: Eukaryota; Metazoa; Chordata; Mammalia; Carnivora; Mustelidae.
CCACCUGUGGUCCAGAAGCAGAUGAUUCUCUGACAAAUCAUCAGAAAGUCAAUAGUAGCCUAAUACUGUGUCACAAUGCUAUUCACUCCAUUUCAUCUCACCCCACAGACAUUUUAUCAUCUCACAUCAUCACAAGGAGAGAGAGAUACAGUGAGAGGAAACAGCAGGAGGAGUGGAAGAAGGAAAAGCAGGCUCCCCAAUGAGCAGGGAGCCCAAUGCAGAGCUUGAUCCCAGGAUGCUGGAAUAUAACCUGAGUCCAAGGCCGACGUUUAACAACAAACACCCAGGCACCCCUCU